Long non-coding RNA from Setaria italica (foxtail millet), 277 nucleotides. RefSeq lists it as uncharacterized. NCBI's taxonomy places the organism in Eukaryota, Viridiplantae, Streptophyta, Magnoliopsida, Poales, Poaceae. The transcript has 3 exons. The record is from RefSeq and is a predicted model, not a curated record.
AAGGAACUUAGGAAGGAUUCAUUGAGAUUUGAGACUCAAGAAAUAAACAAAAAUCAUGUCAACUCCAGAAGAUAUCGAUUGGGAGGAGGAGAUCCAACUUCAUCCUGGUAAAAGAGAAGAAAUACGUUCUUGUCACCCUAAUCUUAGAGAAUCGAUUGCUACUCAAGCAAGGACUACCUUUCCGGGGGCAUGAUGAAUCAAAGACAUCCUUAAACAAAGGGAACUACAGGGAAGUUUAUGAUUGCUUAGCUCAACAUGAUGCAGCUUUAGCCAAGGC